CAGAAGUUUCUGGAAAGGAGAAUGUGUUGAGAACAUCUCGCCACCAUGGCCAUUCUGGAUUCCAUACCUCCUUCACGUCUUCUGGUGUGGACUGUAUGCUGAUGGCAAGCUCUCUUCGGACUGGCCAUAGUUCAAACGCUCGAAUGUAAGUCCCCAGAGGCAUUUACUCCUGUGCCCCCGACAUGGAGAACAGUGCAUGGGACCCAGGAAGUGCUCAGAAAACAUAACUAUGUGUUGAACAGGAACCUGUACCAGAUGUGCCUGUCCCCGACAUUGGACCCUGAGCUCUUUGCGGGAUGGAAACAUACUCUGCUCAUCUCUGUAACCCCAGCUUCUAGCCUCCAGCCUGACACGUGGUCUGUGUGUUGAAAGAAUAGAGGAACCAGAUCCCUCACUCAGAGAGAAACUGGCUUCUGGCUUGCAAGCAGCUUCCUGAAGAGACCCAUGUGGCAAGGAACUGGAGCCCCUUUCCAGCAGGCUCUCUGGUUUCCCUGAAUGGAACCAUGGCUUGCAAGCAACGGCCCACAUCUGACGUGUGGUGAAUUCCUGACGGAGACAGCAGUAGUAACAAGUGCUAAGUCCUUCCACAUUGACUUCUGCAAAGAGCCUCACUAGUCGGGUCUUCUAAGAAAGGGACAAAUCUUGGGCCCAACAAAGAAGAAAUAGAAAGAAGGAAGUCUGUGAUAUUGUGAAGAAUAGGAUGUGGAAAUUUUUCACUGGUGCAGUCCAGCCCAAGGAGCAUUAAGCUGGCUCAUCAUAUCAGGGAUUUUCCUCAAUGACAUAAAAAUUGCAUGAGUGUGCAAAUGAUUGUCUGAAGAUGUUCUUGGCAGUGUUGUUUAUGAUGAGAGAUAAGAAGCAACCUCAAAUGGCUACGAGUGAGAGAUAAAUCUCCCCAUUUAACAAGAGGAGGGAGAGCAUGGUUGCAAGAAAGGGGAGAAGGGAAAGAAAAAGAAGGAUAAAGGAGGAAGAGGAGGAGGAGGAGAAGGAGGAGGAGGGAUCGCCAACACAGCAGCAGAUAAAGAGGCAUCAGAAAAAAUGAAUAAUGGUUUUAUUCCCAGUCUAUAUAGCACCAAACUCACACCCAAGCCCUCCAAUCCAAUGGAAGGUAGCAGAAAUGCAAGAUCAAUUGAAAAGAACAUCAACAAUGAAGACACACAAAUGGCCAACGAGUACAUAAAAAGGUGCCCGACAUCACUCAUCAUCAGGAAAUGUGGUUUUGACAAAUCACCAUGAGUUAUCACCUACACCUGUUAGAAUGGCUGUCAUCAAGAAGACAAGAGAUAGAUACCAGUGAAACUGUAGAGAAAAUGGAACCCUGUGCACUGUUGGUGGGAAUGUGAAUGGGUUCAGCCACUACGAAAAACAAUACGGAGGUUCCUCAGAACAUCCCACUUCUGGGUCUGUGUUUGAAGGAAAUGAAAUAACUACCUCAAAGAGGUAUCUGCACCCCAUGUUCAUCACAGCGUUCUUCACAACAGCCAAGACAGAAGCAGCCUCACUGCUUGCCAACUGAUGAAUGGAUAACGAAAACUUUGUAUAUACACCCAGUGAAAGUUAUUCAGCCACAGAACAGAAGGAAAUCCUGCCAUUUGCAACAGCAUGGAUGGAAUUUGAGGGCAUUGCACUGAGUGAAAUAAGUCAGCGUGAGUGAGACCAAGACUGUAUGAGCUCACUUAUAUGUGGAAUCUAAAAGAAACAAAAACAAAAGCAAAACUGAGGUCACAGAAACAGAGGGUAGAUUAGUGC
Prionailurus viverrinus (fishing cat) is the source of this 1746-nucleotide long non-coding RNA. RefSeq lists it as uncharacterized. The record is from RefSeq and is a predicted model, not a curated record. The transcript has 9 exons. Lineage: Eukaryota; Metazoa; Chordata; Mammalia; Carnivora; Felidae.